UUAGAGAACCCCAUUCAUACGUAAAGGUUGUUUACAAGAUGCCAAGAUCUAUUCGCAUUACCUAUGCUAAUCAAAAGCGCCAAUGAGGUAUGGAGUUGAAGAUAGUAACUAGCAACAGCCAUACAGUUCGAGAAGGAAUGUUCCAUGAGUCUUUCAAGUGGAACUUAAGCCUUUAGUGUUUGACCUCUCUAGUUUCUCUCUCUAACGCGUGCGACGCGGGCGCUUACCGCCGAUGGCCCCAGCAUCCACCGCUGACAACCACUCCGGCCCCGGCGUCCACCGCCUCGCACCGCUGGAGACCACCUAGGUCCCGGCGGCCACACAAACGUCUCCACGGUAGUUGCAGAUUCGAAUGGAGGGAUUUGAAUCUGAGAAGGGUCGCGAAGGGAAAGAAGAGCUAGAUCCGGCCCUUCCCCACUUGCGGCUGCGGCCAUUGCAGCCCAGGUUGCAUCUUUGGUGGCGGGGACCUCCUUCCCACCACGGUCGCCCCCACGCGCCACCUCAUCCCCGCUGAAUCCCUCGGCCCCCCUAUCUGCGGCGGCUUGAGGGACCAUCAGGGGAGACCCCCGACUGGCUCAGGUAUAGUGCCUCGUCUUCCUCCUCGUCUGAUGGCUAAGAUUCUUCGCCAAGGUCCCCACGCCGUCGCUCGGCGGAAGGGGAAGGCGACUGCCAUGGACAUCUCGCCGGCACCUUCAUCCCGCCAGGGCCCUCCCUUUGGUGGCCUCAUGGCUGAUGUCCGGAGGGGAUAGGACUCCGCUGCACGCGGCCUGGCUGGCCAGUCAAGCUUGAGGCUUCCGCAGGAGCAUGAGUGGGUCGCCGCCGCCAUCGCCCGCUCCUCAGGUCGUGAUUCGGAGAUUCCCACUGCCGACCGUGAUGGAGAUGGCUGGGUGGAGGUUCGUCGCCAUCGGAACCAGCACCGAGAGCAUCCUGCUCAGCGUCCCGUUCCUCGAUCCCCGCCGACCUGGUAGGCCGCUGUUUCAAUUGUCUCACCACCGACCAUGUCGCAGCCGUCUGCAGAAAUCUGUCAUGUUGUAUGCACUGCUGGUGGGAGGGGCACAGGUCGCGGCAAUGCAGGAAAGGUCGCUCUAUGCUACCACCUCGAGGUCGCUCACCGCCUCCACCGCAUCGAGCUCUGGUGACGACUGCAGCUCAGCAUCAACAUUGGGCCAGACGGACACAGUCAACAUCUUAUGACGCUACAAGGUCUGCACAUUCCCAAUCCAUGGGCCCCUCCUGUUACCCUCCUGCAAUUCGUGUUCCUCCCUCGCCGAGCUGUGAUGACAUGUCCAUUCCUUCCUCACCGCCAUCGCCAAGGCUUUGUGGCGACCUGUCGUGCCGCUCGGCCAAAGAGAUACGUGUGAUUCCCAGGUCGCAGAUGAUUAAUGACAGUGAUUCGUGCCUGUCAGCUUGUGCGCUAGUUCUGAUGAUUGGAGGCAACCGACCGAAGGUGUCCACACUGCAAGUUGGAUUGGUCCUGGAAGAGUUCCUCAACCUGCUCCUGGAAGAUUACAACAUUCAGCGCUCUAAACCUGAGGAUUUCUUGGUAGAAUUCAGCAUGCCAAGUAUUGCAGAAAGGAUCUUGCACUCCCACCUGCCACCAGAAGCUCAAAUUCAGCUCAUAUGGAGAAGAUGGCACCGUCAAUCCAUGGUGAGCCUGGCAUCCUUGCGAUUCAGAGUGCUAAUCGAACUAAAGGGAAUUCCUGCUCAUGCACGAAAUGUAAACACAGCACAGACCAUACUAGGCACUGCUUGUGCUGAACUGGUAGAAGCUCCGGUGCAAGUUGACAAGAACAACAACAACGCCAUCCUCUAUGUGGCCUGCUAGUGCAUGCACCCCGACCUAGUUCCGCUGGAGAAGCUGAUUUUCAUCCCAGAGCCUCCACUGCCAUACAUCGAAUGUGAUUUGUUCUUGAAGCACCAUGAACUAAUCCACUCUAAGCAGGAUGGUCUCUAGUAUGUAAUACAUAUCAGAAUAGUUGAGGUGCAGGACUGGAGCCUACCUAGUGAUUCAUCAAAUGAAGAAAUCCCACCAGAUACCUAUGGGAGUUCUGGUGAUGAGGAUUACCUAGGUUUCACGCAGCAUAACAGAAGUAACCCCUGGCCAAAGAAAACAAGGUUUGCAAACAAGCAGGGUGGCUCUGGCGGAGGACCCUCACUUGGUACUGGUUGGGGACCACCUUCUGCAUCAGCGGCGGUGGCUCCCUCAACAAGGGCCUGGCCCCUAUCCACGCCUUCGAGAGUUGGUCGCCACAAGCAAGGCAAAGGCCCAACGGGGCCGACAGAGCAUAUACCGUCUGUCACCCCAUGCGUUGUUUCUGGAAAAGGGUAGGAAGAUGGGUUGCUUGAUGCAAUGAUGCAGAUGGAGAUCAUUAAACCCUCUGGAGACUUGGUAGGCGACCCCAUGGCACUGGAGGCGGACCAGGCUUACAGAACCCAUACCCUCACCGUGAGCUUUGCACCUAGACAUAACAUAGCCACCACAAAUCCUGGGGAUACCUUCUCACUGAGGGGAUCACCCCAUGCUUUUAACCCAAUAAGAAUGGAGACGGAACUGAGCCUACAACCACUGGAGUCAUUACCGUCGCUGGUGCUUGACAGUGGGUUGAUUUUCAAACCAAGUCUGAUGCUGGGAAAAGCGGAGGGGCUGAACCAUGGGGUUCAACCAACCCUCUAGUCUGAAGCAGAGGUAGCUGUUGAUACAUCACUCCAGCCACCAAGUCCUCACCACAACAUCGACCACGGGUUGAUAAAUCUUGAAGUGGGUGGGGUUGCCAGUUGCACUUCAGUUAGCUCCUCUGAGAAGAAAAGCACGCACACCACCAAUGUCAACUCUAGCAAUCAAGAGAAGCGAGAGGCUCACCAAGAAGUCGUGUUAUCGGGCCACCAAGCCAACCCUUCAGGUACAGAACGUGCUAAUGAAGAAACUGGGCAUCUCCUCCAGGAUUGGGCCGCUGGAUGUCGCAGCCUUCACGCACUUCCUGAAAUUCUUCACCGCCACUCUCUCGGUCUCCCAGUGUGAAGCUCUUGAUGAGUUGAUCCCAGAUGGUGGGUUGUUGUUCAUGACGGCGGUCGCUAACAUUGAGCCUUGAGCUCCAUGGUUGCUUCACCCCUUGUAAGUCUGGGUGGUGUCCAAUCCGCUUCUUCGUGAGAACUCUUUAACAGCUAGGGUGAAACUCCUCUCAUCAGGCGAAGACUGGUGGCUAA
Setaria italica (foxtail millet) is the source of this 3204-nucleotide long non-coding RNA. RefSeq lists it as uncharacterized. The record is from RefSeq and is a predicted model, not a curated record. NCBI's taxonomy places the organism in Eukaryota, Viridiplantae, Streptophyta, Magnoliopsida, Poales, Poaceae. The transcript has 2 exons.